This 434-nucleotide ribosomal RNA is filed under the name uncultured bacterium. RNAcentral describes it as "partial 16S ribosomal RNA". It matches the Rfam family "Bacterial small subunit ribosomal RNA", at positions 29 to 507 of the family's 1533-position model. The record is from RNAcentral.
AGCGAACGCUGGCGGCAGGCCUAACACAUGCAAGUCGAACGAACCUUUCGGGGUUAGUGGCGGACGGGUGAGUAACACGUGGGAACGUGCCUUUAGGUUCGGAAUAACUCAGGGAAACUUGUUCUAAUACCGAAUGUGCCCCUCGGGGGAAAGAUUAAUCGCCUUUAGAGCGGCCCGCGUCUGAUUAGCUAGUUGGUUGAGGUAAUGGCUCACCAAGGCGACGAUCAGUAGCUGGUCUGAGAGGAUGGUCAGCCACAUUGGGACUGAGACACGGCCCAAACUCCUACGGGAGGCAGCAGUGGGGAAUCUUGCGCAAUGGGCGAAAGCCUGACGCAGCCAUGCCGCGUGAAUGAUGAAGGUCUUAGGAUUGUAAAAUUCUUUCACCGGGGACGAUAAUGACGGUACCCGGAGAAGAAGCCCCGGCUAACUUCGUG